RNAcentral lists this small nuclear RNA (300 nucleotides) under Octodon degus (degu). RNAcentral describes it as "7SK RNA (ENSODEG00000023055.1)". It matches the Rfam family "7SK RNA". From Rfam's summary of the family: 7SK was discovered as an abundant small nuclear RNA in the mid-70s but a possible function has only recently been suggested. Two independent studies have found that 7SK RNA binds the CDK9/cyclin T complex (known as elongation factor P-TEFb). P-TEFb activates transcription by phosphorylating the C-terminal domain of RNA polymerase II. The record is from Rfam by way of RNAcentral. Lineage: Eukaryota; Metazoa; Chordata; Mammalia; Rodentia; Octodontidae.
GGAUGUGAGGGCAAUCUGGGUGUGGUAUCCGUCACCCCACUGAUCACCUGAGUUGAUUUGGCUGAUCUGGCAGGCUGGGAAAGCCUCCUCUCCCAUCCUCACCACUCAGUCUGUGUCCUCCUGAGCCUGCAUGCUUGUUAAAUGAGCGUGUCCACCACUGAUAAAGGCAGGCCCUUUCCCCCAUCAAGGGUGUCUGCGCAGCUGUAUCACCCUGCUAGCACCUCCAAACAAGCACGAAACUCUACCCAUAGUUUUGCAGAAGAAGGAAUGAAAAUUUAGAGGCUGAUCACCUUCCCUAGG